UGUAAAGGGAUGGGACUCGAACCCACGACCUUCCGCUUACCGGGCAGAUGCCAUGACCACUAGGCUAUCCUGGAC
This 75-nucleotide transfer RNA is filed under the name Cordylochernes scorpioides. RNAcentral describes it as "tRNA-Thr". Lineage: Eukaryota; Metazoa; Arthropoda; Arachnida; Pseudoscorpiones; Chernetidae. The record is from RNAcentral.